UGCCAGCAGCCGCGGUAAUACAGAGGGUGCAAGCGUUAAUCGGAAUUACUGGGCGUAAAGCGCACGUAGGUGGUUCAUUAAGUCAGAUGUGAAAGCCCCGGGCUCAACCUGGGAACUGCAUUUGAAACUGGUGGGCUAGAGUAUGGUAGAGGUAAGUGGAAUUCCAGGUGUAGCGGUGAAAUGCGUAGAUAUCUGGAGGAACAUCAGUGGCAAAGGCGACUUACUGGACCAAUACUGACACUGAGGUGCGAAAGCGUGGGGAGCAAACAGGAUUAGAUA
Molecule: ribosomal RNA, 279 nt
Filed under: uncultured bacterium
Lineage: Bacteria
Description: partial 16S ribosomal RNA
Rfam family: Bacterial small subunit ribosomal RNA
Source: RNAcentral